Gambusia affinis (western mosquitofish) is the source of this 848-nucleotide long non-coding RNA. RefSeq lists it as uncharacterized. The transcript has 3 exons. The record is from RefSeq and is a predicted model, not a curated record. NCBI's taxonomy places the organism in Eukaryota, Metazoa, Chordata, Actinopteri, Cyprinodontiformes, Poeciliidae.
UAAGUAUUUAGCAAGUUAGUGACAUAUUUAGUUUAAAUGUUUAGCUUUAAACUAGAUAUUUAGCUCGCUAUUUAGCUUCACACAUUGUUUGCUAGCUAAAUAUUUAGCUUCAUGCUAAAUAUCCAGAGGCUAGUGUUUAAGAUUAUGAGACGUGUUCAUAUCGGUAAGAUUUUAUCUGUACCAUUUCGCAACUUUUCCAAACUCCCGUUGUCCCAAUUUUUCACCAACAGAUCUACUUUUCUGGGAAUCGUGCUAGCGGAGCUGCUUCGUGUGAUGAUUCAGUGAGACUUACAGCGCGGAUAUUUUCCCACCUCUCCCUGCAGCGUGUUUGUGUGCGACUGAAGCCCAGUGGGAAGCGGAGGCCUGGCGCAGAUAAACAAAGUGAGGGAGAAAAUGGCGGACAUAACUGGAACGGCGCAGCGACACCCAGAAUGGCGCUGGUGCUUUCCUAACAUCCAGCGUCACUUCACGUCCCGUUCAAGUGUCUCCGCUGGGAUGCAGUAACUUUUAAAGAGCAUUUCUGGCACUUAGCAGCGUGAAGCUCUGCCAAAUGGAAGAAGAAAAAACCCUACGGAGAGAAACGGCGCCCUCAAUCAGGAAGUGGCAGCUUUUAGCUGCGCCAAAGGAAUCAAGCAACUUCCUGGUCAGGUUGCCAUGGUUACUGGAAACUCGGCCAGCUGCCGCAGCCGUUAGCCGUUAGCCGUUAUCGGCGACGGUUAAGAUGGAAGAAUUAAAGACAGACUUUUAAAUGUAAGCAAAACGUCAUUACUGUGUUUAAUGUAUGUUUCUGUUAUGUUCAGAGUUUGUAUACAACAGCGUACUGAGUUGUUUUUUUUACUUGGAAAAAA